This 460-nucleotide ribosomal RNA is filed under the name uncultured bacterium. Its description in RNAcentral is "partial 16S ribosomal RNA". It matches the Rfam family "Bacterial small subunit ribosomal RNA", at positions 338 to 795 of the family's 1533-position model. The record is from RNAcentral.
CCUACGGGUGGCAGCAGUGAGGAAUAUUGGUCAAUGGGCGCGAGCCUGAACCAGCCAAGUCGCGUGAGGGAGGACGGCCCUACGGGUUGUAAACCUCUUUUGCCGGGGAGCAACGGGCGCCACGUGUGGCGUCACUGAGAGUACCCGGAGAAAAAGCAUCCGCUAACUCCGUGCCAGCAGCCGCGGUAAUACGGAGGAUGCGCGCGUUAUCCGGAUUUAUUGGGUUUAAAGGGUGCGCAGGCGGAUCGUUAAGUCAGUGGUCAAAUUGAGGGGCUCAACCCCUUCCCGCCAUUGAAACUGGCGUUCUUGAGUGGACGAGAGGUAUGCGGAAUGCGUGGUGUAGCGGUGAAAUGCAUAGAUAUCACGCAGAACCCCGAUUGCGAAGGCAGCAUACCGGUGCGCAACUGACGCUCAUGCACGAAAGCGUGGGUAUCGAACAGGAUUAGAUACCCGUGUAGUC